AUAUGUAAGGGUGAUCUGGCUAUGACAUCUGUCACCUCAUCGAUCUCCAGGGUUAAUUCGGCUGAUCUGACUGGCUAGGUGGUUGUCCCCUUCCUCUGUCACUGCUCCGUGUGUAUCCUUGUCAAAGCUGCUUGCUCCCUCAAAGAGGCUGAUGUUCUUGGAAUAGAGAUGGACUGGUCUUGUCAAGGAUACAUGAGAAGCUGCGUUCCCCUGAUAGAACAUCCAAAAAAGCUCUAAAAAAAAAAUGCCAGCAAUUCAAGUGCAAAUACUCAAACCAAGUGGAAGACUAAAAUAUGGAUUAGUAAGU
RNAcentral lists this small nuclear RNA (307 nucleotides) under Erinaceus europaeus (western European hedgehog). Its description in RNAcentral is "7SK RNA". It matches the Rfam family "7SK RNA". Rfam says of the family: 7SK was discovered as an abundant small nuclear RNA in the mid-70s but a possible function has only recently been suggested. Two independent studies have found that 7SK RNA binds the CDK9/cyclin T complex (known as elongation factor P-TEFb). The record is from Rfam by way of RNAcentral. Lineage: Eukaryota; Metazoa; Chordata; Mammalia; Eulipotyphla; Erinaceidae.